RNAcentral lists this ribosomal RNA (325 nucleotides) under uncultured eukaryote. Its description in RNAcentral is "partial 18S ribosomal RNA". It matches the Rfam family "Eukaryotic small subunit ribosomal RNA", at positions 1470 to 1796 of the family's 1831-position model. The record is from RNAcentral.
CCCUUAGAUGUUCUGGGCCGCACGCGCGCUACACUGAUGCAUUCAACGAGCCUAUCCUUGGCCGACAGGUCCGGGUAAUCUUUGAAUCUGCAUCGUGACGGGGAUAGAUUAUUGCAAUUAUUAAUCUUCAACGAGGAAUGCCUAGUAGGCGCAAGUCAUCAGCUUGCGUCGAUUACGUCCCUGCCCUUUGUACACACCGCCCGUCGCUCCUACCGAUUGGGUGUGCUGGUGAAAUGUUCGGAUCGGCCGUUUGUCGCGGUUUCCGCGUCAUGUGGCUGAGAAGUUCAUUAAACCCUCCCACCUAGAGGAAGGAGAAGUCGUAACA